This 28-nucleotide non-coding RNA is filed under the name Mus musculus (house mouse). The record is from RNAcentral. Lineage: Eukaryota; Metazoa; Chordata; Mammalia; Rodentia; Muridae.
UAAAAUAGUGUCACUGUUUCAUGACUAA